GAGUUUGAUCAUGGCUCAGAGCGAACGUUAGCGGCGCGCCUAACACAUGCAAGUCGCACGAGAAGGGGGCAACCCCUGAAAGUGGCGCACGGGUGCGUAACACGUAGAUAACCUGCCCUUCGCAGGGGGAUAACGUUCCGAAAGGAGCGCUAAUACCGCGUACAGCAUUCUGGGGUUAGCCUUGGGAUGACAAAGGCUGGGAUUCGCAAGAACCAGUCGGCGAAGGAGGGGUCUGCGGCCCAUCAGCUAGUUGGUGAGGUAAUGGCUCACCAAGGCGAAGACGGGUAGCUGGUCUGAGAGGAUGAUCAGCCACACUGGGACUGAGACACGGCCCAGACUCCUACGGGAGGCAGCAGUGGGGAAUAUUGGACAAUGGGCGCAAGCCUGAUCCAGCCAUGCCGCGUGGGUGAUGAAGGCCCUAGGGUUGUAAAGCCCUUUCGGCGGGGAAGAUAAUGACGGUACCCGCAGAAGAAGCCCCGGCUAACUUCGUGCCAGCAGCCGCGGUAAUACGAAGGGGGCUAGCGUUGCUCGGAAUCACUGGGCGUAAAGCGCACGUAGGCGGACUCUUAAGUCGGGGGUGAAAUCCUGGAGCUCAACUCCAGAACUGCCUUCGAUACUGGGAGUCUUCGAGUUCGGGAGAGGUGAGUGGAACUGCGAGUGUAGAGGUGAAAUUCGUAGAUAUUCGCAAAA
Molecule: ribosomal RNA, 690 nt
Filed under: uncultured bacterium
Lineage: Bacteria
Description: bacterial SSU rRNA
Rfam family: Bacterial small subunit ribosomal RNA
Source: RNAcentral